CUAACAUGCUCUUCUCCAUGUACGCGUCGUGCCGUGGUGUGCAGCGCGCGUGAGCCGGCUGACGGAAAGCCGGCGCGGAUAUCACGAUUAACGCCGAGAACCUCACCGCAGAGGCUGCGAUCAAGACUGGCGUCACGGGCCCGGUGGUAUCAAGCUAAAAAAGAAGGGUAAACUGAAGUUUGUCGGAACAGUGAAUGGGGCUCUAACUGUGCUUGUUUUCCUUGCGUUCAGGAAACGCAAAGUCCGUGCCAUGAAGAACCGGAAUGAAAAAGGUCUAAAAUACUAACACUAUUCCAUCGUCUGCAAGGUUGUACGCAACAUACUUUAGGAAUUACUUUUACAUCGCUUUUCGAAGUUCUCCAAGGAAACUAAAAGGAUUGUCAACUACAAUGUUGACAAUCGAAUUAUUAUUUAUUGGUUUGAAGUUGGUCAUGUGCAUUCCAUUUGCUGUUAUGACAGAUUCAUCGGAAGACAUGACAGGACUCCAGUACCUGCACAAGCACCUAUCUUCCUCCGAAGCUGAACUCGUGCUCCGCAGUCGGCAGUUUUCUCUUAAUUUGACAAUGGGGGCCAGUGAUAAGGCACCGGAAAAUUUUGAGAUUAGCCUUACAAACGGAAAACUAUUACAGACAAGCAGCGCAGGGAGUUCUCCAGACUCCAGAGAAAGGUGUCAAUAUAUAAUGGAUAACGCAAUAUCGUGCCACAUUUCUAUAAUUGGCUGGAACGCCACAUACGACGGAGAAAUGAAGCACGCAAAUUUAGGAAGCGAGAAGUUUCGUGUAACCAUUAUUCUUCAAAAAUACGACCUCCCACUGAACCCUGCUGAUAUUUGGAUAUACAUGAAGUUUGCAGACACCUCCUCAGGUCGUUACACCAGCACAACACCUUCAGAUUUUGUGCUGGAUAUGAGUACACUUCCUCCUUUGACACAACUUGGCGUGUUACAAAAGAACGGCCUCUCAGAAAGUGCGUGGGAUAAACUAAAGAAGAUAAUGUAUUGGAAUCUCAAGACAGAUCUAAUACAUGCGAUGAUAACGAAGUACAAAGAAUGGGUUGAGAAAGAAAUAAGAUAUUAGUAAACAUUCCAGGGCGUUGA
Molecule: long non-coding RNA, 1096 nt
Organism: Dermacentor silvarum
Lineage: Eukaryota; Metazoa; Arthropoda; Arachnida; Ixodida; Ixodidae
Exons: 4
Source: RefSeq, a predicted model, not a curated record